AUUGAACGCUGGCGGCAGGCCUAACACAUGCAAGUCGAGCGGAGCGGCGGACGGGUGAGUAAUGCCUAGGAAUCUGCCUGGUAGUGGGGGAUAACGUCCGGAAACGGGCGCUAAUACCGCAUACUAUCAGAUGAGCCUAGGUCGGAUUAGCUAGUUGGUGGGGUAAAGGCCUACCAAGGCGACAAUCCUUAACUGGUCUGAGAGGGUGAUCAGUCACUCUGGAACGGGACACCGGCCCAGACUCUUACGGGGGGCAGCCGUGGGGAAUAUUGGACAAGGGGCGAAAGCCUGCUCCAGCCAUGCGGCGUGUGUGAAGAAGGCCUUCGGGUUGUAAAGCACUUUCAGCGGGGAGGCGUUACCCGCAGAAGAAGCACCGGCUAACUCCGUGCCAGCAGCCGCGGUAAUUC
RNAcentral lists this ribosomal RNA (407 nucleotides) under uncultured bacterium. Its description in RNAcentral is "partial 16S ribosomal RNA". It matches the Rfam family "Bacterial small subunit ribosomal RNA", at positions 30 to 526 of the family's 1533-position model. The record is from RNAcentral.